This 472-nucleotide ribosomal RNA is filed under the name uncultured bacterium. RNAcentral's name for it is "partial 16S ribosomal RNA". It matches the Rfam family "Bacterial small subunit ribosomal RNA", at positions 28 to 507 of the family's 1533-position model. The record is from RNAcentral.
GACGAACGCUGGCGGCGUGCUUUACACAUGCAAGUCGAACGCUGAAGCUUGGUGCUUGCACUGGGUGGAUGAGUGGCGAACGGGUGAGUAAUACGUGAGUAACCUGCCCUUGACUCUGGGAUAAGCCUGGGAAACUGGGUCUAAUACUGGAUACGACAUGUCACCGCAUGGUGGUGUGUGGAAAGGGUUUUACUGGUUUUGGAUGGGCUCACGGCCUAUCAGCUUGUUGGUGGGGUAAUGGCUCACCAAGGCGACGACGGGUAGCCGGCCUGAGAGGGUGACCGGCCACACUGGGACUGAGACACGGCCCAGACUCCUACGGGAGGCAGCAGUGGGGAAUAUUGCACAAUGGGUGGAAGCCUGAUGCAGCGACGCCGCGUGAGGGAUGACGGCCUUCGGGUUGUAAACCUCUUUCAGCACGGAAGAAGCGAAAGUGACGGUACGUGCAGAAGAAGCGCCGGCUAACUACGUG